GACGAACGCUGGCGGCGUGCUUAAUACAUGCAAGUCGAGCGAGAAGCCACCGCUCCGUAAGGAGUGGUGGUGGAAAGCGGCGAACGGGUGAGUAACACGUGGGUAACGUGCCCCGAACACUGGGAUAACGGCGGGAAACCGCCGCUAAUACCGGAUAACCCUGCAGCGUCGCACGCUGCAGCAGGCAAAGGUCCCGCGGUUCGGGGUCGGCCCGCGGCGUAUCAGCUUGUUGGUGGGGUAACGGCCUACCAAGGCAGUGACGCGUAGCUGGCGUGAGAGCGCGACCAGCCACACUGGGACUGAGACACGGCCCAGACUCCUACGGGAGGCAGCAGUAGGGAAUCUUGCGCAAUGGGCGAAAGCCUGACGCAGCGACGCCGCGUGAGGGAUGAAGGCCUUCGGGUUGUAAACCUCUUUCAGCGGGGACGAAGCCUCACGGUGACGGUACCCGCAGAAGAAGGUCCGGCCAACUACGUGCCAGCCGCCGCAGUAA
Molecule: ribosomal RNA, 493 nt
Filed under: uncultured bacterium
Lineage: Bacteria
Description: partial 16S ribosomal RNA
Rfam family: Bacterial small subunit ribosomal RNA
Source: RNAcentral